GGAAGCCUCGUCCUGUCUCCCAGCUGGUUGCUCAGCGGGUAGCGCCGCAGUUCGCCUCGCCCACGCUGCUGCCCAAGAAGGACAAGAAGGACAGAACGGACCAGGAGAAGAAUGACAAAGAGCCCACAGUGAAGAAGAACAGCCACAAGAAGAUGAGGCCCAGGUUAAAAAAAUAUUGACAGGAGCAGCGCUCAGCACCUAGAGGUCACGGUUGGAGACCUGACUGUCAUCAUCACAGACUUUAAGGAGAAAACCAAACCUCCCCCCUCCUCCACCAGCACCACCACACCCCCCUCCUCUACCACCCCCUCCAG
RNAcentral lists this long non-coding RNA (314 nucleotides) under Salmo salar (Atlantic salmon). RNAcentral's name for it is "lncRNA (ENSSSAG00000104592.1)". The record is from RNAcentral. Lineage: Eukaryota; Metazoa; Chordata; Actinopteri; Salmoniformes; Salmonidae.